GGGUGAGUAAUGCAUAGGAACGUACCUUUUGGUGGGGGAUAACCACGGGAAACUGUGGCUAAUACCGCAUAAUGACGUAAGUCUAAAGCAGGCCUCUAUUUAUAAGCUUGUACCAAGAGAAUGGCCUAUGUCCCAUUAGCUAGUUGGUUAGGGUAAUGGCCUACCAAGGCUACGAUGGGUAGCUGGUCUGAGAGGAUGAUCAGCCACACUGGGACUGAGACACGGCCCAGACUCC
RNAcentral lists this ribosomal RNA (235 nucleotides) under uncultured bacterium. RNAcentral's name for it is "partial 16S ribosomal RNA". It matches the Rfam family "Bacterial small subunit ribosomal RNA", at positions 104 to 339 of the family's 1533-position model. The record is from RNAcentral.